Molecule: long non-coding RNA, 1062 nt
Filed under: Nicotiana benthamiana
Lineage: Eukaryota; Viridiplantae; Streptophyta; Magnoliopsida; Solanales; Solanaceae
Description: long non-coding RNA (NBEN_LNC007376)
Source: RNAcentral
ACAACUCUGGGUACGCUCGAGGAUGAGCGUUUAUUUAAGUUGGGGAGGAUGUGACGACCCAACCCGUCGUCACGUGAGUUACCUUCCCGUUUCCCCCUUAAUGUAUGGAUUCAUGUUUCAAUAUCAGUAUUAGAUUCGAUCGGGUGUAAUUAAAUUGGUUUUGGUUGAAAAUAAGGCACAUAUCCUCUUAGAAUGAAGCUUGUAUGAAAGACGCCAAUCGGUAGUUGAUUGAGUGGUUAGAGGGCUCAGAUGUGAAUUCCGGUGGUUCGGUUAGCUUCGGGGGAUUAUAUUUGACUUAGGUGUGCGACCGAAAUUGAAUUUGGAGGUCCGGUGUAGAAUUAGGCUUGAAUUGGCGAAGUUUGAAUUUUGGCCGAUCCCAGUUGAUAGGUGAGAUUUUGAUUCAAGGGUCGAAAUGGAAUUCCGAGAGUUUCUGUAGCUUCCCUAGGUGAUUUUGGAUAUGUGUGCAACAUUUCAGGUCAUUUGGACGUCAUUUGGUUGGGUUUUUGAUCGAAUGUGAGAUUCGAAAGUUUUAGUUAAACUUAGGCUUGAAUCCGUCAGGAUUUGAUGAUUUUUGUGUUAAGGGAUGUGUUUCGAUGAUUGGAGCAAGUUUGAAUAAUGUUUUAGAAUGAGUUGGUGCUUUUGGUUGAGGUCCUGGGGGCCUCGGGGUGAGUUCGGAUGGUUAAACGGAGAGUUUGGAAUUUGUUCCAUGUUUUGGAAUUUGGGGCCUCAGGAUGAGCUCGGAUGGUUAAACGGAGAGUUUGGAGUUUGUUGCAUGUUUUGGAAUUUCUUGUUCUGUCAUUUCAGCAGAAGCAGACAAGAGUCUGCAUAAGCCGUCCUUGAGGGUUUGGCAUUUUUCGCAAAAGCGUAAAGGUGUCUGCAGGAGCGGUCGCCGCAGGAGCGAUUUUUGACCGCAGAAGCGGUCCUCAAGAUCUUUAAGCUAAACCGCAGAAGCGGUUGUUGGGAUGCAAAAGCGGGAGACGCAGGUGCGGUAAUUCGACCGCAGAAGCGAAAAUCGGCCUUGGCAGAAGGGGUUUUUAUUGAACAUUUUAUCCGCGACUUGGG